UGUAAGCGUAUACCAAAGUUGUUGCAGUUAAAACGCUCGUAGUCGGAAUUUGGCAGUUCCGGAAGUGUGCACGUCGUGUGCGCACUUUGCGGGGACUGCUUUUGUGGUCUUGCGUAGGAUGAGGCACUUUCAUUAGUGAACGUCCUCACGCAACCACUCUUUACCGUGAGAAAAUCAGAGUGCUCAAAGCAGGCAUUUGCCGUGAAUGUAUUAGCAUGGAAUAAUAGAAUAGGACUCGGUUCUAUUUUGUUGGUUUGUUGGGACUGAGUAAUGAUUAAGAGGGACAGUUGGGGGCAUUUGUAUUCCGGCGCUAGAGGUGAAAUUCUUAGAUUGCCGGAAGACAAACUGCUGCGAAAGCGUCUGCCAAGGAUGUUUUCAUUGA
Molecule: ribosomal RNA, 382 nt
Filed under: uncultured eukaryote
Lineage: Eukaryota
Description: partial 18S ribosomal RNA
Rfam family: Eukaryotic small subunit ribosomal RNA
Source: RNAcentral